Molecule: non-coding RNA, 1091 nt
Organism: Ciona intestinalis (vase tunicate)
Lineage: Eukaryota; Metazoa; Chordata; Ascidiacea; Phlebobranchia; Cionidae
Source: RefSeq, a predicted model, not a curated record
ACCACUCCUGUCACAUCGAAUUGUUAAAAAUGAUGUUCCUGGUACACCGGAAAAAAACUGAAAAUUUAAAAAAGAAAAAAAUACCAACUGAAGCAGAUGUAGUUGUCAUAGGGGCUGGCAGUGUUGGAUGCAGCACAGCUUAUCAUCUUUCUAAACUCGGUGCUGGAAAAGUUGUCAUGCUUGAAAAAAGUCAAAUCACAUCAGGAACAACUUGGCACACAGCAGGUAUAUUGUGGAGCUUUAGACACAGUGAGUCUGAAACGAUCAUGCAACUUCAGACGAGGGAUCUGAUCAGUAAGAUAUUGCCCGAAGAAACAGAUGAAGAUGCAGGCUAGUUGGAGACAGGAACAUUGAACUUAGCAAGAAAAAAACAAUCAUAUUUCCUACAACACGGGGGCUCUUUGCUGCUACCAUUACCAUUGAAAACUGCACAGUGAAGGGCAUAACAAAGAAAGAAGAUUACAACAGCCUAAAACAAAAUUUCUAUUGAGAAACUAUGUGCGCUAUCCACUUUACCACGGUGCCUGAAUUAACCAAACACACUGCGUUGAUAAAAUUAAGAAAUACUCAGUGGAAAUUUAAAGUUAACCUUCAGGUAAGCUUCAGGGAUCACAUGUAAUGUAACUUGCAUUCGCUUUAAAAAUAGAACUAUUGGUUCUGGGUUAGGGUGUCAUUUGUUAGCGAGUUUUGAUUUCAGAUCCACUGCUCAAGUGGCCAUGUUAACCAGAUAUUUGCACAGGUUAUGGAUAAGGUGCAUAAGCAUAAUGGUUGCAUGGCAGGUUUCAGAGCAAUGGAAUCACUCAGCACUGAAGCAGGUUUCAACUACUGGUCUUACUCAACAAUGCAAAUAUAAACCCUACAGAAGCACGUCUCACCCAAUUUUGUUUACCAUGUACAAACUAGAGCAUAAACCCUGAAAGUAGAUAAACCAAAAAGUUCAUGCUUACUUUAUUGUGCACAGGUUAGUAAAUUGCGAAAGUAGAAUAUUAUUGCAGUAUAAAAUCAUAUAGUAGGAUAAGAGAAGAUGGGACAACUUUUCAUUCUAUUUUCUCGUUCCAUUUGGUAGUUACCAAAGAACAUUCAUAGAAUUA